UGGGUUCAGGUUGGGAGUCUGUUGCAACCCAGAUUGCUGUGCAACCAACUGCUCAGCUGACAGUGGACUUUGUUACUGCCGUGAUUUUAAAUGAAGCAGAUCGCCGGGUGCUAGCUGCAUGGGCAAGGGGAGUCUUCACAGACGUCAUCCCAUAGUGCAGUGGAACCACCAGAUGGCGCCAAAGCUUUGAAGGCAGUGAAAUGCUACUCGUGUGGACGUCUAGGCCAUAUGAAGAGGGAAUGCAGACAUCCCAGGGCCAAGACAGAGCAGCGCAGCGAAAGCUCAUCGCGCGGAAAAGGCCGAGGCAAAGGCAAAGGUCCGGUGUCUAGGACAACGCAGCACAAGGCUAUGGUUUCACGCUUCACUCCAAAGGUUGCAGAGGUCCAGAAGACGUCUAGAUCUUUCUUCGUUGUUGAUUCAGCGGCCACCCACCACAUGUGCAACGAUAAGAGACUGUUUGUGUCUUUUACACCGCAGGAAGGUGCGAUUCACCAGGCGGAUGACCACACUAUUCCCAGUAAAGGCUACGGAACUGUUGUUCUUCACAGUUUGGACUUAUCGAUACAGAAUGUGCUUUACGUGCCAGACGCCAAACAUAAUCUGCUCAGCGUUGGACAGCUGAAUGAGCGGAACAUUGACGUUUCUUUCAAGAACAAGAAGUGCAUCAUCACAAAGAAAAAUGAUUAUGUAUUGCAUGCAGAAUAUGUUGAUCGUUUGUUUGUUUUGAAUUAUGAUGAUGUGGUGCAGGAUGACACUUGUUGCAUUGCAGGUUCUAACAAAAGUUUGCAUGCAGAAUGUAUUCACGAUUUUCAUAGAAAAUUUGGUCAUUUGCACUUUGAGGCAGUAUCUAAAAUGCCUGCCUUGGUUGAAGGUAUGACUAUUAAACCCUGCAGGUACCACAUGAAGUGCAAAGCAUGCGCAGCAAACAAGGUCAAAAUGGCUGCGAAAGGUAAGGUGUCUAGUAGGAAAGCUACAGAACCAUACCAGGUUGUUCAUGCUGAUUUGGUUGGACCACUAGCGCCCUCUUUGGGUGGAAAUAGAUACUUCAUGGUUCUCAUUGAUGCAUUUUCUAGAUAUAUUUUUGUGUACAAUCUCAAGCAGAAAUCAGAGGCUUUUCCUAGGUUCAAGGAAUUCUGUGCUUGGUUGGAAAAUGUGCAUGGUAAGAAGAUAAAGACUCUUUUCAGUGAUCGCGGGGGGGAAUUCACUUCUCAGCAGUUUGAAGCUUUUCUGACUGAGAAAGGAAUUCAACACGAUUUGUCUAGUCCUCGCUCGCCAUGGCAGAAUGGACUUGCGGAACGGGCAAAUCAGACAUUGCUUCAAGGGUUAAAAACCUUGCUGCAUGAUGCCAAUCUUCCAGAGAGUUAUUGGGCCGAAUCUCUCUCGUGUUUUGUUUACAGUUACAAUCGCAGGUUAUCUUCAGCGAUUGGUUGUACCUCUAUGAGAAGAUGUUUGGCAAGAAGCCAUACAUCAAACACAUGAAGAUUUUUGGUUCUGACAUGUGGGUUCGCUCACCACAAAACUCCAAGUUAGACAAGCGUGGAUUGCAUGGUAUCUUUCUAGGUUAUCAGAAAGGGUCUUACAGAAUAAUGAUGACUGACUCUAAGACAAUUAAGCUCACGAGAAGUGUUGAGUACAAUGCAAAGUGGGGGAGAAUGUGGGAAUUUUCCAAUGUUAUCCUGAUGACGGUGAUGAGACUGAGGAUAGUCAAAAGCAACCACAACAACCCACACCCACUGAUGAAGGUUCUGAGUCUGAAUCUGAAACUGAAUCGGGUGAUUCAGAGGAUUUCGAGAGUGCGAAAGCCUCUAUGCGACCCUCUGAAAGCUCUGAUCAAGAAUUGGAGGAACCAUUGUUCACAAUAGGUCGUUUUUCUCCUAAGAAGGAAGAGGAGAGUGUUGAAGACUUAAGGCUAAUUCGUAGGUCACAGAGAGCCACAAAAGGCAAACCUCCAAAGAGAUUUGCUGAUGAGUUUGCUACGAUAGCAGUAACAGCUGUUAAAAGCUCCAAGAAGGUAUUUGAACCUUCAAGUUUCCAAGAAAUCCAGGGUUUGGAUUCGAAGGAAGCUGAGCCAUGGUUAAAUGCCAUGAAGGCUGAGCUUGAUUCCUUAGAAAGGAACAAAACAUGGGAGCUAGUUCCAGUAGUUCCAGGAAUGAAACUGCUUGGAAGCAAAUGGGUCUUCAAAGCGAAGACAGAUCAAAAUGGCAAGAUAGUCAGACACAAAGCCAGAUUGGUAGCCAGAGGUUUUGCACAGGUACCAGGUCAAGACUAUCACGAGACCUAUUCACCCACAGUGAGAUAUGAAAGCAUUAGGCUUAUGCUCAAGCUAGCUGCAGAGGAAAAUCUACACAUUAGUCACCAUGAUAUUAAUACAGCUUUUCUGUACGGAUCUCUAGAUGAAUCACUUUAUAUGCUUCCACCUGAUGGCGUACAGGUAAAACAGGGAUUUGUUUGUGCUCUGAAGAAAUCCCUUUAUGGUCUCAAACAAAGUGCACGGUGUUGGCACACAAAACUCACUGAAGUAUUGUUUUCUCUAGGUUUUCAGCAAGGGAAAGCUGAUCCAUGUGUAUUUGUCAAAGAGGAGGGGCAAAAGAAACUGUACUGUUUGUUUUAUGUUGAUGAUUUAUUAUUCUUUUGGAAAGAUGUCGCAAUGUACAAUAGCGCCCUAGCUCAACUGAAAGAGCACUUUGACAUGAAAGAUCUUGGUGAGGUAAACAACUACCUAUCUCUGGAAAUAGAGAGAGAUCAAGAUGGUAACAUUCUAGUACACCAGUCACGGAAAAUUGCUGAUGUGUUAAGCAAACUAAAUCUGAUGGAUGCUAACCCUGUAGACACACCGAUGACAACAGGUUAUCAGGUAGAUGACACUGAAGAAGCAUUUUCUGACACUACACUGUACAGGAGUGUGCUAGGCAAGCUAAACUUCAUUGCCAGAUGUUCAAGACCAGACAUUGCUGUUAGCUGUAAUUUGCUAAGCAGACAAGUCAACAAUCCUAGUGUCAAGCACUGGAAAGCUCUGAAACGCAUAGCGCGGUAUUUGAAAGGCACUAUGCAUUACAGACUGAGAUUUAACAAUCAGAAGUCUGGUGGUCUUGAGAUAUUUGCAGAUGCAAGUUUUGGAAGUGACGCUACAGACAGGAAAAGUACGUCUGGAGUUUGCUACAUGUACAAUCAGAGUCUGUUUGAUUGGUCAUGCAAGAAGCAAACAACAGUUAGCUUAAGUACUUGUGAAGCCGAACUGAAUGCACUGUCUUAUUCACUUAAGGAUUGUGAAUGGUUAGUACAAUUGUGCAAAGAUAUGAAAAUUCCUGUCAAAUGUCCAAUCCAGGUUUACCAGGACAACAAAGCAUGUUUGGCUUUGCUGAAGUCUGAAGGUUGUAAGCAAAGCACAAAGCACUUGCAAUUAAAGUUGCAGCAUGCUAGGGAAUGUAUUCAGAAGGGACUCGUAACGGUGUCCUAUAUGCCAGGUAAUGAAAUUCCUGCUGAUGUAUUGUCCAAGAUUGUAUCGAGGGAUCAACACUGUACCUAUGUGCAGAAGUUGGGUUUGUACUGAUAUUGUACAAACACGCUGCCCAGUGAUGUUCACAGAAAGGGGAGGAUGUUGGUUUCUGCUUUCCUUCACUGUGCAGCUACAGUGCUUGUCACGAGACAGGUGUUUACAUUCCACAGUCUGUACUGUUGGAGUUUCUCACGGGAAAGGGAGGCUGGAUGUGACGUACACUGGUUUCCUGUUUUUCACUGUGUGAUUCUCUCCGAGCUGUCGAGGAGAGAGGAUGCAUUUUCUGCUCCGGCAGAGGCAAGAUGUCUUUCUGUAAUAUACCAGCUUUGAACUGUAAAUAAAGCAAUAUAGAGUAUGCAGCACGUACUCCUCAUCCUUCCGCUGGGCACGAGACUCUGCUUUAAAU
Non-coding RNA from Podarcis lilfordi (Lilford's wall lizard), 3902 nucleotides. The record is from the annotation of a GenBank genome assembly. NCBI's taxonomy places the organism in Eukaryota, Metazoa, Chordata, Lepidosauria, Squamata, Lacertidae.